GGGAGAGACUUAAAGGGCCGGCUCUCUCGGCGGCCGCGGGAUGCCCCCGCGCUGACCGCCGCGGGCCCGAGCCCGCCCGCGUAGACGCGCCGGGCCGACCCCGUGCCACCAUGUAAAACGGCGCCGCAGGCGGACUCUGGCUUCUCUGCCCGGGACCCCUCCGCCCUGCCCCGGGCUACAGAGCCCUCGAUGAGGACACACCAUGCUGACUGGGGUGACCGACGGGAUCUUCUGCUGCCUGCUAGGCGCACCGCCCAACGCUGUGGGGCCGCUGGAGAGCGUCGAGUCCAGUGAUGGCUACACCUUUGUGGAGGUCAAGCCUGGCCGUGUGCUGCGGGUGAAGCAUGCUGGGCCUGCCCCAGCCCCCAACCCACCUCCACCACUGCCAGAUGCUGCCCAGGGAGACCAGUCUGGCUUGGUCCGCUGCCAGCGCCGAAUUACCGUGUACCGCAAUGGGCGGUUACUGGUGGAGAACCUGGGCCGGGCACCUCGAGCUGACCUCCUGCAUGGGCAGAAUGGCUCCGGGGAGCCGCCGGCCGCCCUAGAGGUGGAGCUGGCCGACCCAGCGGGCAGCGAUGGCCGCUCAGGCUCAGGUGGUGCCGGGAGUGGCAGUGGCGGGCGCCGGCGGCGAGCCCGGCGCCCCAAGCGCACCAUCCACAUUGACUGUGAGAAGCGCAUCACAAGCUGCAAAGGUGCCCAGGCCGACGUGGUGCUCUUUUUCAUCCACGGUGUUGGCGGCUCCCUGGCCAUCUGGAAGGAGCAGCUGGACUUCUUUGUGCGCCUGGGCUAUGAGGUGGUGGCACCCGAUCUGGCCGGUCACGGGGCCAGCUCGGCACCCCAGGUGGCCGCAGCCUACACCUUCUAUGCGCUGGCAGAGGACAUGCGUGCCAUCUUCAAGCGUUAUGCCAAGAAGAGAAACGUGCUCAUUGGGCAUUCCUACGGUGUCUCCUUCUGCACGUUCCUGGCACAUGAGUACCCAGACCUGGUGCACAAGGUGAUCAUGAUCAACGGCGGGGGCCCCACAGCACUGGAACCCAGCUUCUGUUCCAUCUUCAACAUGCCCACCUGCGUCCUGCACUGCUUGUCACCCUGCCUGGCUUGGAGCUUUCUCAAGGCUGGCUUUGCCCACCAGGGCUGGCUUUGCCCGCCAAGGAGCCAAAGAGAAGCAGCUACUGAAGGAGGGCAAUGCGUUCAACGUGUCAUCCUUCGUCCUGCGAGCCAUGAUGAGUGGCCAGUACUGGCCUGAAGGCGACGAGGUCUACCAUGCUGAGCUCACUGUGCCCGUCCUGCUCGUUCAUGGCAUGCACGACAAGUUUGUGCCAGUGGAGGAAGACCAGCGCAUGGCCGAGAUCCUGCUGCUGGCUUUCCUGAAGCUCAUUGAUGAAGGCAGCCACAUGGUGAUGCUGGAGUGUCCGGAGACAGUCAACACGCUGCUCCACGAAUUCCUGCUCUGGGAGCCCGAGCCCUCGCCCAAGGCCCUGCCCGAGCCCCUGCCCGCGCCCCCAGAAGAGAAGUAGCCGCUGGGCCGGCCGGGCAUCGCUUGGUAAGCCGAGGAACAGCAGGAGGAAGCCAGGAGCCGCCCCUCGUCCGCAGCGCGGACCACCUGGGCGGGCCGUUCGCUCCGGUGGGCGGAGUCAGGUCAGCGAGACGCCCCCAGGCCGGCUGGGUAGGGCCAGGCAUUCUCCGGAGCCAAGUGGAUACACCGCUCUCCGCUUCCAUCCUGCCGGACCCAUCGGUGUUUUGGGGUCGGAACCGGAACCCCCGUGGAGGAUGACCUUGUACAGAAGCCCCCUACCCCUCAACGCCACGGCCGAGGCAAGCCCCCCAACCCCGCUCUCUGUCUUCCGUGUCAGCCGUGCUUGAUCCUGGGACCCUCCGGGGGCCCCGCCUCAUUGCCCGAGACCCUCCCCACCCCCAUUUCUUGGCGCUGGGAGCUAUUGUUGCCCAAGUGGAGGGGGGAGGGAGAGGGGGGCUGGCGCCACCGAACCUGCACAUCUCAACUUGUAACUCAAUAAAAAGAAGUGACAA
Non-coding RNA from Callorhinus ursinus (northern fur seal), 2028 nucleotides. The record is from RefSeq and is a predicted model, not a curated record. Lineage: Eukaryota; Metazoa; Chordata; Mammalia; Carnivora; Otariidae.